Molecule: ribosomal RNA, 521 nt
Filed under: uncultured bacterium
Lineage: Bacteria
Description: bacterial SSU rRNA
Rfam family: Bacterial small subunit ribosomal RNA
Source: RNAcentral
AGAGUUGAUCAUGGCUCAGAACGAACGCUGGCGGCGCGUCUUAAGCAUGCAAGUCGAACGGCAAGAGGUAGCAAUACCUCCUAGAGUGGCGGACUGGUGAGUAACACGUGGGUGACAUACCCUUCAGAUGGGGAUAGCUAUUAGAAAUAGUAGAUAAUACCGAAUACGAGCACAGGGGUUAGAGAUCUGUGAGGAAAGGAGCUAAGGCUCCGCUGAAGGAAUGGCCUGCGGCCCAUUAGCUAGUUGGUGAGGUAAGAGCCCACCAAGGCGAUGAUGGGUAUCCGGCCUUAGAGGGUGAACGGACACAUUGGGACUGAGAUACGGCCCAGACUCCUACGGGAGGCAGCAGCUAAGAAUAUUCCGCAAUGGACGAAAGUCUGACGGAGCGACGCCGCCGUGGAUGAAGAAGGCCGGAAGGUUGUAAAAUCCUUUUGAAACUGAAGAAUAAGCGUUGUAGGGAAUGACAGCGUGGUGACAGUAGGUUUUGAAUAAGCAACGGCUAAUUACGUGCCAGCCGCCGC